AGCAGCCGCGGUAAUUCCAGCUCCAAUAGCGUAUAUUAAAGUUGUUGCAGUUAAAAGCUCGUAGUUGAAUUUCGGGGUUAGUAGGUUGGUCAUGCCUCUGGUAUGUACUGGUCUCACUGAUUCCUCCUUCCUGAUGAGCCGUAAUGCCAUUAAUUUGGUGUUGCGGGGAAUUUGGACUGUUACUUUGAAAAAAUUAGAGUGUUUAAAGCAAGCUAACGCUUGAAUACAUUAGCAUGGAUGAAAUAAUAAAUAGCAUCCUAUUUUGUUGGUUUCUAGGAUUGACGUAAUGAUUAAUAGGGAUAGUUGGGGGCAUUAGUAUUCGAUUGUCAGGGGUGAAAUUCUUGGAUUUAUUGAAGACUAACUACUGCGAAAGCAUUUGCCAAGGAUGUUUUCAUUAAUCAAGAACGAAAGUUAGGGGAUCGAAGACGAUCAGAUCCGUCGUAAGUCUUAACCAUAAACUAUGCCGACUAGGGAUCGGAUGAUGUUAAUUUAAUGACUCA
RNAcentral lists this ribosomal RNA (500 nucleotides) under Glomus sp. Glo8. Its description in RNAcentral is "SSU rRNA". It matches the Rfam family "Eukaryotic small subunit ribosomal RNA", at positions 569 to 1078 of the family's 1831-position model. Lineage: Eukaryota; Fungi; Glomeromycota; Glomeromycetes; Glomerales; Glomeraceae. The record is from RNAcentral.